AUUCUGAGCCCCUCCCUGAAGAUCUGAUUCACUAGGCUUGGUGUAAAGUCCUGGAACCCAUAGAUUUAACAGGAGCCCUCCACUGGCAUAUAUUAUGGGAAAUAGUUUGGGAAGUAGUGCUUUACAUGAUUUAUGUCAAGUAAUUAUUACAAUUGCUCUCUGAAGCCGCUACCAUGAUUAUCUCAAUUUUACAGAUGAAGAAACCAGCUCAGAGUAUAAGAUAUGGUAUACCUAAGUCAAAUAGUUAAUAAACAGGAGCGCUGCUGACUCUGGCACCCAGGACUGCUUGUCUUCAAAGCCAGGACUCCGACUACUGAAGGCCCAAGACUCUUGGCGGUCUGAAUCUGGGGUCCCAGCUGCCUUGCCAGGAUGGCAGAUAUCUCUCCACUAAUGCAGGUGUCUUAGAAGUUCCAGUGGCUAGAAUUCCAAGAUCAAGGUGUCAGCAGCAUGGUUCUUUCUGAGAGCUGUGAAGAAGAAUCCGUUCCAUGCCUCUCCCCCAGUUUCUGGUGGUGUGCUGGCAGUCUUUGGCAUUCUUUGGCCUGCAGACGCAUCACCCUAAUCUCAGCCCAGCUCCGGAACGCCUUUCCCAUGUUUGGUGUGUUUUCUACCUAAUGAGUUUUGAUGGAAGUGAAGGCUGUUAUUUACCUCUGGAAGCUAAAAAUACCAGCUCCCUGGUCAUCUCAGAGUUGGUUUCCGAUGCAACUAAAAACAUCAACUGAUAUGAGGUCCAAAAGAUGGAAUUUUAAGCACCAAAGACGCUCCCUUAU
Molecule: long non-coding RNA, 767 nt
Filed under: Homo sapiens (human)
Lineage: Eukaryota; Metazoa; Chordata; Mammalia; Primates; Hominidae
Description: HSALNT0389163
Source: RNAcentral